Molecule: long non-coding RNA, 878 nt
Organism: Beta vulgaris subsp. vulgaris (sugar beet)
Lineage: Eukaryota; Viridiplantae; Streptophyta; Magnoliopsida; Caryophyllales; Amaranthaceae
Exons: 3
Source: RefSeq, a predicted model, not a curated record
UCGAGAAAUUCUUGUGUUAUGGCAUUCACUGAGAAGGCGUAGGCUAAAAAUAUUGUUGUUGUUGUAUUUUCUUAUGAUGAUAUUGAUGAUGUUGAUUAGGAGGCGUAGACGUAGACUAUAUAGAGAGCCUUGUUGGUAUGAUCCAAUUAUUUGAUCAAAACAUUUGAUUAAUAUGAUAGAUAGAAAUGAUACUUUAUGCAUUGAACAACUGAGGAUGGAUAGACAUUGUUUUAGAGUUUUGUGCUCGUUAGUACGAGAAUAUGAUGGAUUGAGGGACACUAAGAAUAUGAGUGUGGAGGAAUUGGUUGCAAUCUUCCUACAUAUCAUUGCAUAUGACGAGAAUAACCGAGAAAUCAAGUUUGACUUUCAGCGAUCACAAGAGACAAUUAGUAGACACUUUCAUAAUGUUUUGAGAGCAGUUUUAAAGCUUUUUGGAGAGUCUUACUAAAGAAACCUCAACCAAUCCCCGAGGAUUGUACAGAAGAGAGAUGGAAAUGGUUCAAGAAUUGCAUUGGUGCUUUAGACGGGACUUACGUUAAAGUAAAUGUGCGCGCCACUGAUAAAUCACGAUACCGAUCUAGAAAGAACGACAUUUCAACAAAUGUUUUGGGUGUAUGCGCACCAGACAUGCAAUUUAUUUAUGUAUUAGCCGGUUGGGAAGGCUCAGCUGCAGAUGGUAGAAUACUUCGAGAUGCACUAUCAAGACCAAAUGGGCUUAAGGUUCCUCGUGGUUGUUAUUAUCUUGUUGAUGCUGGUUACAAAAACUGUGAGGGAUUCCUAGCUCCAUACAGAGGGCAACGUUAUCAUUUGCAAGAAUGGACUAAUCCACCAACAAAGAAGGAGGAAUUAUUUAACAUGAAGCAUGCAUCCGCAAGGAA